AUCUCAGGGCAAGCGUAUACGGGCGCACGACGGAUGCCUUGGCACCAGCAGGCGAUGAAGGACGCGGUAAGCUGCGAUAAGCCACGGGGAGCGGCAAACACGCUUUGAUCCGUGGGUUUCCGAAUGGGGCAACCCCGCACCUUUCAUAGGGUGUGACCCCGCGCUGAAUACAAUAGGCGCGGUGGAGCGAUACCCGGGGAAGUGAAACAUCUCAGUACCCGGAGGAAAAGAAAUCAAACGAGAUUCCGCAAGUAGUGGCGAGCGAACGCGGAUCAGCCCAAACCAGGGAGCUUGCUCCCUGGGGUUGUGGGACCGUCACAACGACGCAAGCAGCGGCAGGGGAACGGCCUGGAAAGGCCGGCCACAGGGGGUGAUAGCCCCGUACCCGAAGCCCCGGCUGCGUCAGACGGUAUCCCGAGUAAGGCGGGGCACGUGAAACCCUGCCUGAAUCUGGGGGGCCCACCCUCCAAGGCUAAAUACUCGCUGGUGACCGAUAGUGAACGAGUACCGUGAGGGAAAGGUGAAAAGAACCCCGUGAGGGGAGUGAAACAGACCUGAAAUCGUGCGCCCACAAGCUAUGGGAGCGCCGCAAGGCGUAACCGUUUGCCUUUUGCAUAAUGAGUCCGCGAGUCACCCUGUGCGGCAAGGCCGAUCCCGAGAGGGAACAGCCGCAGCGAAAGCGAGCGCGAAACGCGCGACCAGUCGCACGGGGUGGACCCGAAGCCCAUGUGAGCUACCCCAGAGCAGGCUGAAGUCCCCGUAACAGGGGAUGGAGGGCCGAACGAGUGACCGUUGAAAAGGUCUUCGAUGACUUUGGGGUUGGAGUGAAAGGCUUAUCAAACUGGGUGAUAGCUGGUUCUCCUCGAAAUGUAUUGAGGUACAGCCUCCCGUAAUGCGUCGCGCGGGGGUAGAGCACUGAUUGGUCUAGGGCCCCUACCGGGGUACCGAAGCCUGUCAAACUCCGAAUACCGCGCGUAUGUCAACGGGGGAGUGAGGCCGUGGGGGCUAAGCUUCAUGGCCGAAAGGGAAACAGCCCAGAUCGCCGUCUAAGGCCCCUAAAGGUGGCUCAGUCACUAAGGAUGUGAGGUUUCGUAGACAGCCAGGAUGUUGGCUUAGAGGCAGCCAUCAUUUAAACAGUGCGUAACAGCUGACUGGUCGAGAGAUCUUGCGCCGAAAAUGAUCGGGAGUCAAGCCACCUGCCGAAGACGCGGGACGCCGAAAGGCGUCGGUAGAGGAGCGUGCCGCGACGGGUUGAAGCGGAAGCGGAAGCGACCGUGGACUGCGCGGCAGUGAUUAUGCGGACAUGAGUAACGAAAAGAUGGGUGGAAAUCCCAUCCGCCGGAAUCCCAAGGUUUCCCGGGGUAGGUUCGUCCGCCCGGGGUCAGUCGGGACCUAAGUCGAGGCCGAAAGGCGUAGACGACGGACACACGGUUAACAUUCCGUGACCGGUAGCUCGAGUUAUCCGAUGGGGAUGGCGGAAGGCUAAUGAUUAGGGCUGAUGGAUGCCCUUCGAAGCGCACAGGGCGCCAGGCAGGAAAAUCCGCCUGGCACAAGCCAGAUGCGUUAGGUAGGUUGGAGCAAUCCAGCCAAGUUCAUGACGUCAAGCCGACAAGAAAAACCCCUAAGGUUGAGCUACCGCCCGUACCAAAACCGACACAGGUGGGAGGGUACUAACAUACCCAGGCGCGCGAGAGAACCCUCGUUAAGGAACUCGGCACACUAGCCCCGUAACUUAGGGAGAAGGGGUCCCCCGCAAGGGGGCACAGUAAACGGGCCCAUGCGACUGUUUAACAAAAACACAGCACUCUGCCAACCUGCAAGGGGACGUAUAGAGUGUGACACGUGACCAAUGCGGAAAGGUCAAGGCAAGGGGUUAGCCGCAAGGCGAAGCUCCGAACCAAAGCCCCCGUGAAUGUCGGCCGUAACUAUAACGGUCCUAAGGUAGCGAAAUUCCUUGUCGGGUAAGUUCCGACCUGCACGAAUCGUGUAACGAUAUGGGCGCUGUCUCAACGAGGAUCUCGGUGAAGUUGUAAUGCCGGUGAAAAUGCCGGAUUCCCGCAGAAGGACGGAAAGACCCUGUGAACCUUUACUGUAUUCUGGCACUGUCGCCUGUUCGUGCAUGUGUAGCAUAGCCGGGAGCCUGCGAAGCCGCCGCGUUAGCGGUGGUGGAGGCACCAGUGAAAUACCGGUCUUGCGCGGGCGGUCGUCUAACGUCGAGCCGUCAUCCGGCCGACGGACAACGCCAGAGGGUCAGUUUGACUGGGGCGGUUUCCUCCCAAAGAGUAACGGAGGAGUUCGAAGGUCACCUCAGCACGGUCAGCAAUCGUGCGAAGAGCGCAAGGGCAGAAGGUGGCUUAACUGCGAGACCGACAGGUCGAGCAGAUGCGAAAGCAGGACCUAGUGAUCCGGCGGUAGCUCGUGGCAGCGCCGUCGCUCAACGGAUAAAAGGUACUCCGGGGAUAACAGGCUGAUCGCCGCCGAGAGUCCAUAUCGACGCGGCGGUUUGGCACCUCGAUGUCGGCUCAUCGCAUCCUGGGGCUGGAGAAGGUCCCAAGGGUUUGGCUGUUCGCCAAUUAAAGCGGUACGCGAGCUGGGUUCAGAACGUCGUGAGACAGUUCGGUCCUUAUCCUCUGCGGGCGCAGGCGGUUUGAGGAGGGCAUUCCCUAGUACGAGAGGACCGGGAAUGACGCACCUCUGGUGUUCCGGUUGUCGCGCCAGCGGCAUCGCCGGGUAGCUAUGUGCGGAACGGAUAAGCGCUGAAAGCAUCUAAGCGCCAAGCCAUCUCCAAGACAAGACCGCCCUCUGGCUUCGGCCAGACUAAAGGCGGGUUGAAGACUACGACCUUGAUAGGCCGGAGGUGUAAGCGCAGUAAUGCGUUGAGCUGACCGGUACUAAUACGCCGAGUGGUUUGCCCUUUU
Molecule: ribosomal RNA, 2918 nt
Filed under: Lentisphaerota bacterium
Lineage: Bacteria; Pseudomonadati; Lentisphaerota
Description: Lentisphaerae bacterium (freshwater metagenome) 23S ribosomal RNA
Rfam family: Bacterial large subunit ribosomal RNA
Source: RNAcentral